Long non-coding RNA from Canis lupus familiaris (dog), 364 nucleotides. RefSeq lists it as uncharacterized. The record is from RefSeq and is a predicted model, not a curated record. NCBI's taxonomy places the organism in Eukaryota, Metazoa, Chordata, Mammalia, Carnivora, Canidae. The transcript has 4 exons.
CAUCAUCCUAGAAUUGGAUAUUUCCUACAGUCAGAGCUUACAGAAUCGUUACACCUAAAAUGCAGGAGACAAAGUAUGUGUUGAUGAGACACCUCGGAAUUUCUCAUUCACUGUUUGAGGCUGCCCUGAAUCAAGCCACUCUGAUCUCGUGUUAAGAACACUGUAAUUCUUAGCAUACUUAAGUGUGACCUCAGGAUCUAAUGUCAGGUGAAAGAGAUCUCCAUCCAGGCCCUCAUGGAACAUGAGACAUCUAGAAGACAGACAAUUAUGUUAACUCACAAGAAAAACUGAACAAGCCAAUCUCCCCUAAUCUGCCAUCAUUUCUUUAUGAAGUUGUCAGCCAGAAGAAAAUUGUCAAAAGAAU